AGGACGAACGCUGGCGGCGUGCCUAACACAUGCAAGUCGAACGGGGUCCAACCGGUGGCAACACUGGUGAAGACCUAGUGGCGAACGGGUGAGUAUCACGUGAGCAACCUGCCCCGAAGACUGGGAUAACACCGGGAAACCGGUGCUAAUACCGGAUACCCCCACCGGAUCGCAUGGUCUGGUGAGGAAAUGAAUUUUGCUUUGGGAGGGACUCGCGGCCUAUCAGCUUGUUGGUGGUGUAACGGCCACCAAGGCUUCGACGGGUAGCUGGUCUGAGAGGACGAUCAGCCACACUGGGACUGAGACACGGCCCAGACUCCUACGGGAGGCAGCAGUGGGGAAUCUUGCGCAAUGGGCGAAAGCCUGACGCAGCAACGCCGCGUGAGGGACGAAGGCCUUCUGGGUUGUAAAACCGUCUUUUCAGCAGGGACGAUGAUGACGGUACCUGCAGAGAAGCCCGGCCAACUACGCGCCAGCAGCCGCGGU
RNAcentral lists this ribosomal RNA (486 nucleotides) under uncultured bacterium. RNAcentral's name for it is "SSU rRNA". It matches the Rfam family "Bacterial small subunit ribosomal RNA", at positions 26 to 521 of the family's 1533-position model. The record is from RNAcentral.